RNAcentral lists this ribosomal RNA (529 nucleotides) under uncultured bacterium. Its description in RNAcentral is "bacterial SSU rRNA". It matches the Rfam family "Bacterial small subunit ribosomal RNA", at positions 8 to 526 of the family's 1533-position model. The record is from RNAcentral.
AGAGUUUGAUCAUGGCUCAGAUUGAACGCUGGCGGCAGGCCUAACACAUGCAAGUCGGGCGGUAACAGGGAGAAGCUUGCUUCUCUGCUGACGAGCGGCGGACGGGUGAGUAAUGUAUGGGGAUCUGCCCGAUAGAGGGGGAUAACUACUGGAAACGGUAGCUAAUACCGUAUAAUGUCGCGAGACCAAAGUGUGGGACUUUCGGGCCACAUGCCAUUUGAUGAACCCAUAUGGGAUUAGCUAGUAGGUGGGGUAAUGGCUCACCUAGGCGACGAUCUCUAGCUGGUCUGAGAGGAUGAUCAGCCACACUGGGACUGAGACACGGCCCAGACUCCUACGGGAGGCAGCAGUGGGGAAUAUUGCACAAUGGGCGCAAGCCUGAUGCAGCCAUGCCGCGUGUAUGAAGAAGGCCUUAGGGUUGUAAAGUACUUUCAGUUGGGAGGAAGGCGUUGAUGCUAAUAUCAUCAACGAUUGACGUUACCAACAGAAGAAGCACCGGCUAACUCCGUGCCAGCCGCCGCGGUAAUUC